UACGUAGGGGGCUAGCGUUGUCCGGAUUUAUUGGGCGUAAAGAGCGUGUAGGCGGCCAUGUAGGUCCGGUGUGAAAACUCGAGGCUUAACCUCGAGAUGUCAUCGGAAACCAUUUGGCUAGAGUCCGGAAGAGGAGAGUGGAAUUCCUGGUGUAGCGGUGAAAUACGCAGAUAUCAGGAGGAACACCAAUGGCGAAAGCAGCUCUCUGGGACGGUACUGACGCUGAGACGCGAAAGCGUGGGGAGCGAACAGG
Molecule: ribosomal RNA, 253 nt
Filed under: uncultured bacterium
Lineage: Bacteria
Description: partial 16S ribosomal RNA
Rfam family: Bacterial small subunit ribosomal RNA
Source: RNAcentral